Molecule: long non-coding RNA, 1707 nt
Organism: Sapajus apella (tufted capuchin)
Lineage: Eukaryota; Metazoa; Chordata; Mammalia; Primates; Cebidae
Exons: 5
Source: RefSeq, a predicted model, not a curated record
GAAUAAGAAAUAUCUUUUUACAAAUUAAACUGUUGAAGAGAUUUCAACUGGGUUUGGAAUCCAAAUCAACUAAAUCUCUGGCAGAAUAUUUUCAGGAAAAAAAAAAAAAACAACCCUGGAACAUUUGAGAAUUACAGUUCUGUACCUCUGCAAAGAUUUUUAUGUUCUUCCAUUGGUGGGUGAGGGGGGCAAGAGGAAAUUUUCUGGGUAGGCUUACAAAAACAAGCUUUUUGAGAGCUUCUGAUGAUUCUGAGCUACGUUUCUAGACUGGGAUUUGAGUGUUUACACCGCUGUUUCUUGGAUAAUUAAAAAGGGCAGUGAAGGACCAUGAGCAAUUCUCCAAUGGUGAAGAUUGAUCCCAGUCAUGUAAAAAUAAGCUGCCACCUCUGGAGGACCUGAGAAACAUUGCCAAAAAAUAAGAGUUACUCUAAUAUUAAAAGGAGGACAGUCGGGAGUUGGAAGUCACAUCUUGCUUUUGUUUCUCGGAGUCUCUCUGGAGAAAGGAUUCUUCUAGAGCCCAUAAAACCAAAUCACGCAAGAUUGAAAAACAGGAUGAAAGAUUGAAAUUUUUGCCCAAAGGAAAGCUAACUGUGGAUCUCUGGGUGAAUCUUGGAGUCACUAACAUCUGUACUUUGCUUAGUCUAUUGAACAACAAUACCUAAUUUUUAAAACAUUAUUCUCAACCAAAAAGGUGAGGGAAUAGAUAUGGGUGCUUGCAAGGAAGUCUGCAGGGUAACUCCAUAUCAUGUCAAUCAUCACUUGUAAAAUACAUUGUUAAAGGCACUGGCCAGAAUGAAUAGACAAGAAUCACUAAGUAGUGCAAAGACAAAGCUGGUUUUGGGCAUUCUGGGUUCUCCUCUCUUCCCAUGACUAUGGGGAGCAGCUUGAAAGGUAGACCAUUUAGUUCCUCCUAACACAACCCCUGAUUCCCCAAUUUGAAAAUGAAAUGAAACAUCCUAUCAACAAAUAAAUGCCCAGAUGUUCCAGAUGAUGAAUGCAAUGUGCCCAGAAAUUCAAUACAUGGCAUCUCUUGGAUGAUUCAGAUGACAUGCAACUUGAAGCUGGCAUGAGAAACAAGAAAGAAACAGGCAUUCAGUCCAUCACAAGAAGGAAGAAAAUCUAGCACCUUUGUUUUCCUCUCCCUUGUAGAUAUCUACUCAGGAGCCAAUCAAAAACUGUAAUGUCAUUUCUAAUUUUUCUAAGUCUGUAUCCACAGAUAUACAAUCAAAUAAAUGUCAUUAAGUGAACAGAGAUCUUGAUCUCAUCAGCUUAAAUUGGUGAAUCUGGCCAGGGAUAUUUAUCACUCAAUCUCACUGCUUUUUCUUCUCAGAAGAAUUGCCAUUAUCAUUACCUCUGAAGAUGCAAGCAGCAUUUAAGUGAUAGCCACUUACCAUGGGAAAUGUUCCAGCCACAAUUAACUUCCCACUAUGAUAUUCAUCCCCAUUUUUGUAUGCAAUUAUUUUCACUGCCUUCUGGCGCAUGGCUGCUAUGCCACUGUGAGAUGCAGCUUGUGUGCAGGUCUUCAUCCGUAAAGACAAUAGACGUGCUUGGUAAUAACUUAGAGUUUUUUCAGCCUCGUCACACGAUAAAUCAACCUAAUUUAUUUUUUAAAAUAAAUUGAACAUUUACUCAAACUUUCUUGUUUUAGUUUGCUAUACUUCAGUCUCUUAAUUUAAUAAAUGUGUGUAUACAUGUGUGAUGUCUAAA